CAAUCGAACCCGGAGAUAGCUGGUUCUCCCCGAAAUAGCUUUAGGGCUAGCGUCGCAGCGAGAGAGCCGUGAAGGUAGAGCACUGAAUAUGCGAUGGCCGCAUCCCGCGGUACUGAGCAUAAUCAAACUCCGAAUGUCACGGUGUCAUCUGCGGCAGUCAGACGGCGAGUGAUAAGGUCCGUCGUCAAGAGGGAAACAGCCCAGACCAUCAGCUAAGGUCCCAAAGUGCAUGCUAAGUGGAAAAGGAAGUGGAGACGUGCAGACAACUAGGAGGUUGGCUCAGAAGCAGCCAUCCUUCAAAGAGUGCGUAACAGCUCACUAGUCGAAUGACUCUGCGCCGAUAAUUUACCGGGGCUAAGCAUGACACCGAAGCUAUGGACAGGAAUGUGGUAGGGGAGCAUUGCAUGCAGCGGAGAAGCAUGACCGAGAGGGCAUGUGGAGCGCAUGGAAGAGAGAAUGCCGGCGUGAGUAGCGGCACGUGGGUGAGAAUCCCACGCACCGAUGGCCCAAGGUCUCCAGAGGAAGGCUCGUCCUCUCUGGGAUAGUCGGGACCUAAGGCGAGGCCGAAAGGCGUAGCCGAUGGACGACGGGUGGAUAUUCCCGUACCCGAUGUGUGGCGAUGGAGUGACGGAGAAGGCUCAGGCAACCAGCUGCUGGAAUAGCUGGGGCAAGCGAGAUACCUGCGCACCAGGGAAAUCCGGUGCGCGCAAGGGGAAGGCGCGAAGCAUACGGAAAGCUGCGGCAAGUACGGAAAAGCUGAGAGCAGGCUUCCAGGAAAAGCUUCUAGCACAACACGCAUCGGCCCGUACCGAAAAUGGACACACAUGGGCAAGGAGAGAAUCCUGAGGUGAGCGAGAGAACUAUAGCUAAGGAACUCUGCAAAAUGACCCCGUAACUUAGGGAGAAGGGGUGCUCCAGAAAUGGAGCCGCAGUAAAACGGCCCAAGCGACUGUUUACCAAAAACACAGCUCUCUGCGAAGGCGCAAGCCGAAGUAUAGGGGGUGACGCCUGCCCGGUGCUGGAAGGUCAAGGGGAGCUGUCAGCGCAAGCGAAGCAGCGAGCCGAAGCCCCAGUAAACGGCGGCCGUAACUAUAACGGUCCUAAGGUAGCGAAAUUCCUUGUCGGGCAAGUUCCGACCCGCACGAAAGGCGUAACGAUUUGGGCGCUGUCUCAGCUGUAGACUCGGUGAAGUCUUAGUACCUGUGAAGAUGCAGGUUGCCCGCGACUAGACGGAAAGACCCCAUGGAGCUUCACUGCAGGUUGACAUUGGGCUUGGAUGCAUGAUGUACAGGAUAGGUGGGAGGCUGUGAGCCGUGCGCGCCAGCGUACGGGGAGCCGCUGUUGGGAUACCACCCUUCAUGCAUCUAGGUCCUAACCGGAGGCAACGGGCCACGGGACAGUGUCAGUCGGGCAGUUUGACUGGGGCGGUCGCCUCCCAAAGAGUAACGGAGGCGCCCAAAGAUACCCUCAGCAUGGAUGGAAACCAUGCAUAGAGUGCAAAGGCAUAAGGGUGUCUGACUGCGAGACAUACAGGUCGAGCAGGGACGAAAGUCGGGCUUAGUGAUCCGGCGGAUCCGAAUGGAAGGGCCGUCGCUCAACGGAUAAAAGCUACCCUGGGGAUAACAGGCUGAUCUCCCCCAAGAGUCCACAUCGACGGGGAGGUUUGGCACCUCGAUGUCGGCUCAUCACAUCCUGGGGCUGUAUUCGGUCCCAAGGGUUCGGCUGUUCGCCGAUUAAAGUGGUACGCGAGCUGGGUUCAGAACGUCGCGAGACAGUUCGGUCCCUAUCUGUCGUGGGCGCAGGAUAUUUGAGGAGCUCUGUCCUUAGUACGAGAGGACCGGGAUGGACGUACCUCUGGUGCACCAGUUGUCAUGCCAAUGGCACGGCUGGGCAGCUAUGUACGGAACGGAUAAACGCUGAAAGCAUCUAAGCGUGAAGCCGACUCCAAGAUUAGAUAUCCCAUCGUAUAACGAGUAAGACCCCUUGAAGACUACGAGGUUGAUAGGCUGCGUGUGUAAGUGCCGUGAGGCAUUCAGCUUGGCAGUACUAAUAGGUCGAGGGCUUGACCAC
This 2070-nucleotide ribosomal RNA is filed under the name human gut metagenome. Its description in RNAcentral is "bacterial LSU rRNA". It matches the Rfam family "Bacterial large subunit ribosomal RNA", at positions 830 to 2925 of the family's 2925-position model. The record is from RNAcentral.